CGGUUAAGUUAGAAAGGGCGCACGGUGGAUGCCUUGGCACUAGGAGCCGAUGAAGGACGGGACGAACACCGAUAUGCUUCGGGGAGCUGUAAGCAAGCUUUGAUCCGGAGAUUUCCGAAUGGGGAAACCCACCACUCGUAAUGGAGUGGUAUCCAUAUCUGAAUACAUAGGAUAUGAGAAGGCAGACCCGGGGAACUGAAACAUCUAAGUACCCGGAGGAAGAGAAAGCAAAUGCGAUUCCCUGAGUAGCGGCGAGCGAAACGGGACCAGCCCAAACCAAGAGGCUUGCCUCUUGGGGUUGUAGGACACUCUGUACGGAGUUACAAAGGAACGAGGUAGAUGAAGAGGUCUGGAAAGGCCCGCCAUAGGAGGUAACAGCCCUGUAGUCAAAACUUCGUUCUCUCCUGAGUGGAUCCUGAGUACGGCGGAACACGUGAAAUUCCGUCGGAAUCCGGGAGGACCAUCUCCCAAGGCUAAAUACUCCCUAGUGACCGAUAGUGAACCAGUACCGUGAGGGAAAGGUGAAAAGCACCCCGGAAGGGGAGUGAAAGAGAUCCUGAAACCGUGUGCCUACAAGUAGUCAGAGCCCGUUAACGGGUGAUGGCGUGCCUUUUGUAGAAUGAACCGGCGAGUUACGAUCCCGUGCAAGGUUAAGCAGAAGAUGCGGAGCCGCAGCGAAAGCGAGUCUGAAUAGGGCGAAUUGAGUACGUGGUCGUAGACCCGAAACCAGGUGAUCUACCCAUGUCCAGGGUGAAGUUCAGGUAACACUGAAUGGAGGCCCGAACCCACGCACGUUGAAAAGUGCGGGGAUGAGGUGUGGGUAGGGGUGAAAUGCCAAUCGAACCUGGAGAUAGCUGGUUCUCUCCGAAAUAGCUUUAGGGCUAGCCUCAAGGUAAGAGUCUCGGAGGUAGAGCACUGAUUGGACUAGGGGCCCCUACCGGGUUACCGAAUUCAGUCAAACUCCGAAUGCCGAUGACUUAUCCUUGGGAGUCAGACUGCGAGUGAUAAGAUCCGUAGUCGAAAGGGAAACAGCCCAGACCGCCAGCUAAGGUCCCAAAGUAUACGUUAAGUGGAAAAGGAUGUGGAGUUGCUUAGACAACCAGGAUGUUGGCUUAGAAGCAGCCACCAUUUAAAGAGUGCGUAAUAGCUCACUGGUCGAGUGACUCUGCGCCGAAAAUGUACCGGGGCUAAACGUAUCACCGAAGCUGCGGACUGUUCUUCGAACAGUGGUAGGAGAGCGUUCUAAGGGCUGUGAAGCAAGACCGGAAGGACUUGUGGAGCGCUUAGAAGUGAGAAUGCCGGUAUGAGUAGCGAAAGAGGGGUGAGAAUCCCCUCCACCGAAUGCCUAAGGUUUCCUGAGGAAGGCUCGUCCGCUCAGGGUUAGUCGGGACCUAAGCCGAGGCCGAAAGGCGUAGGCGAUGGAUAACAGGUUGAUAUUCCUGUACCACCUCCUCACCAUUUGAGCAAUGGGGGACGCAGGAGGAUAGGGUAAGCGCGGUAUUGGAUAUCCGCGUCCAAGCAGUUAGGCUGGGAAAUAGGCAAAUCCGUUUCCCGUGAAGGCUGAGCUGUGAUGGCGAGCGAAUUAUAGUAGCGAAGUUCCUGAUUCCACACUGCCAAGAAAAGCCUCUAGCGAGGUGAGAGGUGCCCGUACCGCAAACCGACACAGGUAGGCGAGGAGAGAAUCCUAAGGUGAUCGAGAGAACUCUCGUUAAGGAACUCGGCAAAAUGACCCCGUAACUUCGGGAGAAGGGGUGCUCUGUUAGGGUGCAAGCCCGAGAGAGCCGCAGUGAAUAGGCCCAGGCGACUGUUUAGCAAAAACACAGGUCUCUGCGAAGCCGUAAGGCGAAGUAUAGGGGCUGACGCCUGCCCGGUGCUGGAAGGUUAAGAGGAGCGCUUAGCGUAAGCGAAGGUGCGAAUUGAAGCCCCAGUAAACGGCGGCCGUAACUAUAACGGUCCUAAGGUAGCGAAAUUCCUUGUCGGGUAAGUUCCGACCCGCACGAAAGGCGCAACGAUCUGGGCACUGUCUCAACGAGAGACUCGGUGAAAUUAUAGUACCUGUGAAGAUGCAGGUUACCCGCGACAGGACGGAAAGACCCCGUGGAGCUUUACUGCAGCCUGAUAUUGAAUGUUGGUACAGCUUGUACAGGAUAGGUAGGAGCCUUGGAAACCGGAGCGCCAGCUUCGGUGGAGGCAUCGGUGGGAUACUACCCUGGCUGUAUUGACCUUCUAACCCGCCGCCCUUAUCGGGCGGGGAGACAGUGUCAGGUGGGCAGUUUGACUGGGGCGGUCGCCUCCUAAAAGGUAACGGAGGCGCCCAAAGGUUCCCUCAGAAUGGUUGGAAAUCAUUCGCAGAGUGUAAAGGCACAAGGGAGCUUGACUGCGAGACCUACAAGUCGAGCAGGGACGAAAGUCGGGCUUAGUGAUCCGGUGGUUCCGCAUGGAAGGGCCAUCGCUCAACGGAUAAAAGCUACCCCGGGGAUAACAGGCUUAUCUCCCCCAAGAGUCCACAUCGACGGGGAGGUUUGGCACCUCGAUGUCGGCUCAUCGCAUCCUGGGGCUGUAGUCGGUCCCAAGGGUUGGGCUGUUCGCCCAUUAAAGCGGUACGCGAGCUGGGUUCAGAACGUCGUGAGACAGUUCGGUCCCUAUCCGUCGCGGGCGCAGGAAAUUUGAGAGGAGCUGUCCUUAGUACGAGAGGACCGGGAUGGACGCACCGCUGGUGUACCAGUUGUUCUGCCAAGGGCAUCGCUGGGUAGCUAUGUGCGGACGGGAUAAGUGCUGAAAGCAUCUAAGCAUGAAGCCCCCCUCAAGAUGAGAUUUCCCAUUCCGCAAGGAAGUAAGAUCCCUGAAAGAUGAUCAGGUUGAUAGGUCUGAGGUGGAAGUGUGGCGACACAUGGAGCUGACAGAUACUAAUCGAUCGAGGACUUAACCAAUUU
RNAcentral lists this ribosomal RNA (2933 nucleotides) under Bacillus velezensis. RNAcentral describes it as "bacterial LSU rRNA". It matches the Rfam family "Bacterial large subunit ribosomal RNA". The record is from RNAcentral. Lineage: Bacteria; Bacillati; Bacillota; Bacilli; Caryophanales; Bacillaceae.